GUCGGUUUUGAUACAGACCCACGUAUGCGAGCAAUUUUAGUAAAGCAGUCUUCAGUUCAAGCGUUAGCCUAAGCUUCUUCCUGACUUCCUUCUUGAGUGCCUCAUAGUAAUCCCUGUUGACGAACCCUGUGCCCCCGUGGCUUACUACAAUAUUGAAGGAAAGACUUAUGUCUAACAAAAUGACUGGUUUGGUAAAAUGGUUCAACGCUGAGAAAGGUUUCGGCUUCAUCUCCCCAACCGACGGUAGCAAAGACGUUUUCGUACACUUCUCUGCAAUUCAGAACGGCGGCUUCAAGACGCUGGAAGAAGGCCAGAAAGUUGAGUUCACUAUCGAAAACGGCCAGAAAGGCCCAGCAGCAGCUAACGUAACUGCGCUGUAAGAUAGAAACUCCUUCGUUGUUACCGUCAUGAGUUAAUCUCUGACGGUAUGAUACGAAAACGAAAAGCCCGCCUUAUGGCGGGCUUUUUGCG
This 471-nucleotide small RNA is filed under the name Erwinia tasmaniensis. RNAcentral's name for it is "cspA thermoregulator". It matches the Rfam family "cspA thermoregulator". Lineage: Bacteria; Pseudomonadati; Pseudomonadota; Gammaproteobacteria; Enterobacterales; Erwiniaceae. The record is from Rfam by way of RNAcentral.